Candoia aspera is the source of this 3697-nucleotide long non-coding RNA. RefSeq lists it as uncharacterized. The transcript has 2 exons. The record is from RefSeq and is a predicted model, not a curated record. NCBI's taxonomy places the organism in Eukaryota, Metazoa, Chordata, Lepidosauria, Squamata, Candoiidae.
UGUUUGGAAAACCAUACUCAAAAGUUGGCAGUUUUUCAAAUUACAUUUUAGCAUACACAUACAAAAAAUGAAUUGACAAAGGAAAAGAGAAGACAAUUGUUAUUAACCUCAAUAGAGAUAAUUUUGUAAUCAUUUUAUAUUUUUAUUUACACCACAAUAAUAACAAGUUGUCAUAAUGUGGUACAAAAUACUGAACUUCUAUUAAAGUUGAGAUUGAUGUUGGUAUAGUUAGAGAAAGACACCAUUGGUUAAAAAAAAAAGUAAAACAACGUAAUAAACAACAGGAAUGAGAGAGACCUAGGAAAAAAUAACCCAAAUUUCAAAUCUACUAAGAAAAAGGUCAUAAUAAAAUUUAAGUACAAAGAAUAUGCUACUAUAAUUUAAGGGGUUCAUACAAUUAAGAAUGAAAUUGUCUAAAUUACAGACUAAACUGGUAGCUGCUAUCAAUGGUGACUUACUGAGCAUGUAUAGGCAUAAAGCAGAAUAUAAUAAAGUUACAACUUUUCAUACUACAUAUUUGUAAUAAAUUCUUGGGUUAAUAGUUUUUCAACCCAUAUAUAUGGGUUACCACCAAUGUAAAGCACCAGAAGUGUUAAAUUAUUUUCCCCGGCCCUUACCGUUUAAUUAAUCUCAAAUACAAUAUGAAGCUGGGAGGAAACCAAGAUCAACUAUCACUAUGAAGAAACCAUUUCCUGCUGAUACAAAGUUUUGUUUCAAUCCACAGUGUUUGCACAGUACAGCACUGCUUAAAUGUCAAAAAUCUCUUUGAUAUAUAAUUCCUAGUAAUUUAAAAAGUAAUACAGCUGAGCUGAAGAGUUAACUCUUAAAGUUAUUGUCAUUUUAUCUGAGAAUUAAUAUAAACAGAAAUUAGCAUAGGCUUGCACCUUCUUUAACCCUUACAAAAAAACAGAAUUCUUCUCCCUCCUUCUCUAAAAAAAGAAAAUGACACAGGCAGUUGUGUGUUCAGCAUAGUUCUCCUAGAACAUUUCCACAUAAAUACAAUAUAUUCUAUUAUUGGUUUGUCACAAAUGCUAUUCUUUUAAAAUGACAAAUGUUUAAGUAGUCCUUUGUAUUUUUAAAAUUUUACAAUAAAAGCACAGGUCCUUAAUAAGUCCAAACAAACUUCUCUUUUCCAUGCUCCUUAUUUUUGUGUGACAUAAAACUUCCCAAACUUUAUCUCUGGCUAAUGCCAUUAGAAAGCUUUUUCCCAGAGCUGCCAAGUGUGGCGUGCAAAAUCUGUUUACACUAUAAAGGCAUGCCAACCUAACAGACCAUGCAACCUCAAUGUGUAUGAAACUUAAAAAAAUAUAUUCAUAUAUAUUUAUUUAUAUAUAUAUAUAUAUUUAUAUAUUUAUAUAUAUCAAUGCCCAUAAAAUGUGGGCCCAAAAGUUUAUAAAAGAAAAAAUGGAAUGAGUACAUGAUUAAUAAAAAGGAAUGUUUGUUUACUGAAAGUAAAAUAACAAUGAUAUACUCUAUUAUACUGUACUAUAAUCUGGAGCUCACUUUUAGGUAAUUCAGUUUUAAGAUGCUCCUGUUUUUCAACUGCUACAAGAGAAGAACUGUAGUAACUCACCCUACACCUUCAAAACUGGGUUAAUCAAAAUAACAUACAGAAUUUUGCUGGUGGAAUUUAGGUACCCCUUAUUUAUAGAAUAUAAAAAUGUGGUAAUUAGAGAUACAUUGUCAUACUCAGAUUGAGCUCUUUGAUUAUCCUUUUAUUAAUAAAAUUAUUUCCACCCUUAUAACACGCAUUUCUUUUCUCUCCUAGAAGAACUGCAGAAGAAAUCCAGUUUCAGGCUUGGAGUGAGAUUAUGCUAUAUCCAUUUUAAAUAGAACAUAACAACUACAACUGAAGAACUGAGAAAUUAUACAAUCAAUUUCCUGAUCUAAAAAUGACUGUGGAAUCCUUCCUUUUGAGAAAAGGGUUUUCUGAAAAUAACACAUACAGCAAUCUGCAACAUGCACAAGACUAUGAAAAGUGUUUUCUGUACAAAAAAGCUGGAAAUAAGCAAACUUCAGUGUAUAAGGAGAAAUUAUGCAUGUCCAGGAAAUGAUUAAUGUCUGGAAAUACAGUUCUCAAAUGAAAACCAAACAUGAAAAUCAAUGCAAAUAAGGCUGUUCUACAGCUUUAUACGAAAACUAAUGUAUUAUGAAGCAGCAGCAAAUAAUUAUUUGCCAGAAAUACUUCGUUUUUUAAAAGAGGGUCAACACUGAAGAACUUAAAAGUGAAAUAUUUAGGGUAGUUGCCCAGCGGCUAAAACGUUGGGCAUUUUAAAAACAUUUCAAACUGCACUUUGAAAAUGGGCAAGUUUCAAACUAGAUCCCCUUUCUUAACCUUUCAAUCCACCAAUCCUCUGCAAGGAACUUCCAAUGGUUGCCAUCUGCAUUUAUUUAUAUAGUUAAUAUAAAUGCACUAUAAAUAUUUAAUUAUUAAUUUGUAAGAGUCAUUUUUCUAAGCUUGGAAUAUAUUUAUAUUAUUCAUUAUACAGUGUAUAUAUAUAUUUAUACCUAAAAAAUUAAGCAAUAUCCCAUGCUAUCUGCUUUUAAUAAAAAGCAUUCCAUUUUUUAAAAAAAAAUUGCAAUUGUAUCUGUGCAUGCCUUUACAACCAAAUCGAUAAUUUAAAUGUUAUACAUAAUGUAUAGAAGACGACGUUGGAUUUUUUAAAAAUCAAUUAAUUUUAGAAACCCAACAGCAUUUGCCACAUUACUGGCAACUACCUUAAUUUUUUUAAAAUUUAAACAGCAAGGAAACAAAAUCCAAAAUAAACUUGUAGACUGUUUGGGAGAAGCUCUGGCCUUUGCUUGCUUUAAAUAAUCAUGCUAGCAGAAAUCCUAGAAUCUUUCUUGAUGAAUGCAGUUCUUGUCCUUCUCUGCCAGAGGAACUGCUGCAGAGGUCUUUUCUUUAAGGCAUAGUUCCUCACAAAUGUCAGGAAAAAACAGCUGCCCCAAAUCAGUCUAUUGUUUUAAAAGGCACAAACUCUUCCAAUGGCUUUGGCAAUGCUAAAGCCAAUCCCUUUUCUGGGCUAUCUUUCUUGUUUUUACAUUCUUCCUCUCCACAUUUAUAUAGUUUGCAUGUUAUGUAUAAAAAGCUUAAUUCUCUUUUUACCCUUCAUAAGAAGAAAAAUAACCCUCCUCAGGGUCUGGGUUUUGAAGAACAUCUCUUAUUCACAAGUACGCAAGAACCACAAAAAUAAUACAGAAACAAAAGUACAAUCUAGUUUGAGUGGUCUGUAUGUAAUCAAAUAUAAAGCACCAGUUUUAAAUGAAAACUGUCACGCCCAUGUUAAGUCUUUGAUUUUGAAACAACAGCAAAAGCUGGCAACUUUGCUAAAUAGUUCCCCAGCCUCUUUCCUCUUAUAGCUUCCAUUGAGGAAAAAAGGAAGAUUACUCAGUGCAUCUGUAAUUCAUAUUGCUGCUCUUCACCUGCAUUUUUCUUUUCUGUGAGCAUAAUCCAUACAAUAUGGAAAGACUAGGCUUUCUUUCAACAUGGCUGCCUUUCUGGAAGAAAAUCAGGGCAGGAUGCAGGUAUAACAAGAGAAAGCGUUCAGGCCUUCAAAGACAAGAUGAAUUUAACUGGAGCGCUUCAAACUAGAUGAACGCUACAGAAGAGGAUCUUCUUCCAUGGGCUCCUCAUCCAGCCUGUAAGCAAUUUCAUCAAGAGUAGUCAGAAUGAUAGAUCUGCGUGGCUCAGAACGAG